RNAcentral lists this ribosomal RNA (460 nucleotides) under uncultured bacterium. RNAcentral's name for it is "partial 16S ribosomal RNA". It matches the Rfam family "Bacterial small subunit ribosomal RNA", at positions 338 to 795 of the family's 1533-position model. The record is from RNAcentral.
CCUACGGGUGGCAGCAGUGAGGAAUAUUGGUCAAUGGACGAGAGUCUGAACCAGCCAAGUAGCGUGAAGGAUGACUGCCCUAUGGGUUGUAAACUUCUUUUAUAAAGGAAUAAAACGAGGCACGUGUGCCUUUUUGCAUGUACUUUAUGAAUAAGGCUCGGCUAACUCCGUGCCAGCAGCCGCGGUAAUACGGAGGAUCCGAGCGUUAUCCGGAUUUAUUGGGUUUAAAGGGAGCGUAGAUGGGUUGUUAAGUCAGUUGUGAAAGUUUGCGGCUCAACCGUAAAAUUGCAAGUGAUACUGGCAGUCGUGAGUACAGUUGAGGUAGGCGGAAUUCGUGGUGUAGCGGUGAAAUGCUUAGAUAUCACGAAGAACCCCGAUUGCGAAGGCAGCUUACUAAACUGUGACUGACAUUGAUGCUCGAAAGUGUGGGUAUCAAACAGGAUUAGAUACCCGAGUAGUC